This 483-nucleotide ribosomal RNA is filed under the name uncultured bacterium. RNAcentral describes it as "partial 16S ribosomal RNA". It matches the Rfam family "Bacterial small subunit ribosomal RNA", at positions 29 to 507 of the family's 1533-position model. The record is from RNAcentral.
UUGAACGCUGGCGGCAUGCUUUACACAUGCAAGUCGAACGGCAGCGCGGGCUUCGGCCUGGCGGCGAGUGGCGAACGGGCGAGUAAUGCAUCGGAACGUGCCCAGUAGUGGGGGAUAGCCCGGCGAAAGCCGGAUUAAUACCGCAUACGACCUGAGGGUGAAAGCGGGGGACCGAAAGGCCUCGCGCUAUUGGAGCGGCCGAUGUCGGAUUAGCUAGUUGGUGGGGUAAAGGCUUACCAAGGCGACGAUCCGUAGCUGGUCUGAGAGGACGACCAGCCACACUGGGACUGAGACACGGCCCAGACUCCUACGGGAGGCAGCAGUGGGGAAUUUUGGACAAUGGGGGCAACCCUGAUCCAGCCAUGCCGCGUGCGGGAAGAAGGCCUUCGGGUUGUAAACCGCUUUUGUUCGGGAAGAAAUCCUCUGGGCUAAUACCCCGGGGGGAUGACGGUACCGGAAGAAUAAGCACCGGCUAACUACGUG